This 284-nucleotide unclassified non-coding RNA is filed under the name uncultured Archaeosporales. RNAcentral describes it as "sequence contains ITS2". The record is from RNAcentral. Lineage: Eukaryota; Fungi; Glomeromycota; Glomeromycetes; Archaeosporales.
AACGCAUAUUGCGCUCUCUGGUACUCCGGAGAGCAUGCCUGUUUGAGGGUAAUUAACAGAAUCUUUAUAACCUCUUUCUUGGUUAAAGGAUAUGGGCAUUCCGCGAUUAGCGGUGGCCUAAAAUAUAUGGUCAGUCUCAUCGAGAGGAGAUGCGUAAUAAUUGUUAUUUCGCAAAAACAUUUGAUGGGCUACCAAGUUUUGAUUCAUUCAACUAUGUUGGGUGCGGUUAAAACAAAUAUUUUUGACAUUACCUCAAAUCAGGUAGGAAUACCCGCUGAACUUAA